Non-coding RNA from Cricetulus griseus (Chinese hamster), 678 nucleotides. NCBI's taxonomy places the organism in Eukaryota, Metazoa, Chordata, Mammalia, Rodentia, Cricetidae. The record is from RefSeq and is a predicted model, not a curated record.
ACUACUUCACUUCCUGUCUGUCCAUACAGACCUCCAGACCUCUAUGGUUAGCUGGUGGCAAGCUCCAGUCUCUGAACCCCCAGAGACAAGCUUUAUUUGUACAAGCAAGAUAUUACCACAUGCCCAGGAUCAUCUGGAAGAACCUGUGAAAGUGUCCGUGGCAGGAGUGGAAGCAGGGAAAGUGAUAAUUACUCAAAUGCCACAAACCUUACAAACCUUUGCAGGGGAGCUGAGGAGAAACAACUGACUGAAAAUCAGUAAAGGGUCCUAGGAAGCUUGGAGCAUCUGCCUGAGCCUCUCAGCCAGUCAUGUGAAGUCUUAAGUGUCUAUGCUGACUCGUUGAAGCUGAAGUCUUCUCUACAGAACAGGGUUUCUUCCUGGAAGAACCUGUGAGGACUCUACUGCCCACCACUGUUUCUCACAGUUUCUGGACCUCUGGGCCCAGAGCCCAAACCUCUCCAUAAUUCUGCACCAUCAGAAGCCUCGCCUCCCAUCCUUACUGCACUGUGUGACCCAGCCCUCCCCUGUCGAGGAAGCUUCUAGGGUUGGCAUCUCCCCAGACCUGGCUUUCUGGGGCUAGGUCACAAAGCCACUGCUGAUGCUCUACUUGAUGGCCUCGCUGUGAUCCCUGGUUGCUGCUGUUCCUGAGACAAUGAGGAUCUAGGCGGGCCUGUCCCU